GACGAACGCUGGCGGCGUGCUUAACACAUGCAAGUCGAACGGAAAGGCCCUGCUUUUGUGGGGUGCUCGAGUGGCGAACGGGUGAGUAACACGUGAGUAACCUGCCCUUGACUUUGGGAUAACUUCAGGAAACUGGGGCUAAUACCGGAUAGGAGCUCCUGCUGCAUGGUGGGGGUUGGAAAGUUUCGGCGGUUGGGGAUGGACUCGCGGCUUAUCAGCUUGUUGGUGGGGUAGUGGCUUACCAAGGCUUUGACGGGUAGCCGGCCUGAGAGGGUGACCGGCCACAUUGGGACUGAGAUACGGCCCAGACUCCUACGGGAGGCAGCAGUGGGGAAUAGUGCACAAUGGGCGGAAGCCUGAUGCAGCAACGCAGCGUGCGGGAUGACGGCCUUCGGGUUGUAAACCGCUUUCGCCUGUGACGAAGCGUGAGUGACGGUAAUGUGUAAAGAAGCACCGGCUAACUACGUG
Molecule: ribosomal RNA, 468 nt
Filed under: uncultured bacterium
Lineage: Bacteria
Description: partial 16S ribosomal RNA
Rfam family: Bacterial small subunit ribosomal RNA
Source: RNAcentral